Molecule: ribosomal RNA, 543 nt
Filed under: uncultured bacterium
Lineage: Bacteria
Description: bacterial SSU rRNA
Rfam family: Bacterial small subunit ribosomal RNA
Source: RNAcentral
ACUAAAUAGAUACCCGGGUAGUCCACGCCCUAAACGAUGGAUACUAGGCGUAAGAGGUAUCGACCCCUCUUGUGCCGCAGCUAAACGCAUUAAGUAUCCCGCCUGGGGAGUACGGCCGCAAGGUUGAAACUCAAAUGAAUUGACGGGGACCCGCACAAGCGGUGGAGCAUGUGGUUUAAAUUCGAUACUAACCGAAGAACCUUACCCAGACUUGACAUCGAUCGCAAGCUCUAGAAAUAGGGCCCUCCCCCACAAGGGGACGUGAAGACACUUGUUGCAUGGCUGUCGUCAGCUCGUGCCGUGAGGUGUACGGUUAAGUCCGCCAACGAGCGCAACCCUCGUCCUGUGUUACCAGCGAGUAAAAUCGGGAACUCACAGGAGACCGCCGGUGUAAGCCGGAGGAAGGUGAGGAUGACGUCAAGUCAGCAUGGCAGUUACGUCUGGGGCUACACACAUGCUACAAUGGGCGCAACAAAGGGCAGCGAUACCGUGAGGUGGAGCCAAUCCCAAAAAUACGCCCCAGUUCAGAUUGCAGUCUGCAAC